This 228-nucleotide ribosomal RNA is filed under the name uncultured bacterium. RNAcentral describes it as "partial 16S ribosomal RNA". It matches the Rfam family "Bacterial small subunit ribosomal RNA", at positions 103 to 334 of the family's 1533-position model. The record is from RNAcentral.
CGGGUGAGUAAUGUCUGGGAAACUGCCUGAUGGAGGGGGAUAACUACUGGAAACGGUAGCUAAUACCGCAUAACGUCGCAGGACCAAAGAGGGGGACCUUCGGGCCUCUUGCCAUCGGAUGUGCCCAGAUGGGAUUAGCUAGUAGGUGGGGUAAUGGCUCACCUAGGCGACGAUCCCUAGCUGGUCUGAGAGGAUGACCAGCCACACUGGAACUGAGACACGGUCCAG